Molecule: ribosomal RNA, 720 nt
Filed under: Paenibacillus polymyxa
Lineage: Bacteria; Bacillati; Bacillota; Bacilli; Caryophanales; Paenibacillaceae
Description: bacterial SSU rRNA
Rfam family: Bacterial small subunit ribosomal RNA
Source: RNAcentral
GGCGUAAGCGCGCGCAGGCGGCUCUUUAAGUCUGGUGUGUAAUCCCCAGCCCUUACAUGGGGUCGCACUGGGAACUGGGGAGGUUGAGUGCCCCUUAAGAGAGUGGAAUUCCACGUGUAGCGGUGAAAUGCGUAAAGAUGUGGAGGAACCCCCGUGGCGAAGGGGACUCUCUGGGCUGUAACUGACGCUGAGGGGCGAAAGCGUGGGGAGGCAACCGGAUUAAAUUCCCUGGUAGUCCCCGCCGUAAACCAUGAAUGCUAGGUGUUAGGGGUUUCGAUGCCCUUGGUGCCGAAGUUAACACAUUAAGCAUUCCGCCUGGGGAGUACGGUCGCAAGACUGAAACUCAAAGGAAUUGACGGGGACCCGCCCAAGCAGGGGAGUAUGUGGUUUAAUUCAAAGCAUCUCGAAGAACCUUACCAGGUCUUGACUUCCCUCUGACCGGUCUAGAGAUAGGGCUUUCCUUCGGGACAGAUGAGACAGGUGGUGCAUGGUUGUCGUCAGCUCGUGGCGUGAGAUGUUGGGUUAAGUCCCGCAACGAGCGCCACCCUUAUGCUUAGUUGCCAGCAGGUCGAGCUGGGCACUCUAAUCAGACUGCCGGUGACAAACCGGAUGAAGGUGGGGAUGACGUCUCAUCAUCAUGCCCCUUAUGACCUGGGCUACACACGUACUACAAUGGCCGGUACAACGGGAAGCGAAGCCGCGAGGUGGAGCCAAUCCUAG